RNAcentral lists this ribosomal RNA (465 nucleotides) under uncultured bacterium. RNAcentral describes it as "partial 16S ribosomal RNA". It matches the Rfam family "Bacterial small subunit ribosomal RNA", at positions 28 to 507 of the family's 1533-position model. The record is from RNAcentral.
GACGAACGCUGGCGGCGUGCUUAACACAUGCAAGUCGAACGGAAAGGCCCUGCUUGCAGGGUACUCGAGUGGCGAACGGGUGAGUAACACGUGGGUGAUCUGCCCUGCACUUCGGGAUAAGCCUGGGAAACUGGGUCUAAUACCGGAUAGGAGCCAUUUUUAGUGUGAUGGUUGGAAAGUUUUUUCGGUGUAGGAUGAGCUCGCGGCCUAUCAGCUUGUUGGUGGGGUAAUGGCCUACCAAGGCGGCGACGGGUAGCCGGCCUGAGAGGGUGGACGGCCAAAUUGGGACUGGAAGACGGGCCAGACUCCUAACGGAGGCAGGAGGGGGGAAAAAUUCACAAAGGGAGGAAGCCUGAUUGAAGCACGCCGGCGUGGGGGAUACCGCCUUUGGGUUGGAAACUCCUUUCGCUAGGGACGAAGCUUUUUGUGACGGUACCUAGAGAAGAAGCACCGGCUAACUACGUG